Molecule: unclassified non-coding RNA, 377 nt
Filed under: uncultured Oligoflexaceae bacterium
Lineage: Bacteria; Pseudomonadati; Bdellovibrionota; Oligoflexia; Oligoflexales; Oligoflexaceae
Description: contains 16S-23S intergenic spacer region
Source: RNAcentral
UCCGGUUUAACACCGGCAGUCGCUCUAGAGUCCCCAACUUAAUGCUGGUAACUAAAGCCAAGGGUUGCGCUCGUUAUCGGACUUAACCGGACAUCUUACGACACGAGCUGACGACAGCCAUGCAGCACCUAUCUUGGCGUCCCCGAAAGGAACUCGACAUCUCUGCCGAUAGCACCAGAUGUUAAGGGUAGGUAAGGUUCUGCGCGUUGCUUCGAAUUAAACCACAUACUCCACCGCUUGUGCGGGCCCCCGUCAAUUCCUUUGAGUUUUAGCCUUGCGACCGUACUCCCCAGGCGGGAUACUUAAUGCGUUAGCUUGAGUACUCAGGAGCUUAACUUCCCGAACACCGAGUAUCCAUCGUUUACGGCGUGGACUAC